AGCGAACGCUGGCGGCAGGCCUAACACAUGCAAGUCGAACGAAGUCUUCGGACUUAGUGGCGGACGGGUGAGUAACACGUGGGAACGUACCUUUUGGUUCGGAACAACUCAGGGAAACUUGAGCUAAUACCGAAUGUGCCCUUCGGGGAAAGGAUUUAUCGCCAUUAGAGCGGCCCGCGUUAGAUUAGCUAGUUGGUGGG
RNAcentral lists this ribosomal RNA (200 nucleotides) under uncultured bacterium. RNAcentral describes it as "partial 16S ribosomal RNA". It matches the Rfam family "Bacterial small subunit ribosomal RNA", at positions 29 to 256 of the family's 1533-position model. The record is from RNAcentral.